ACGGGAGGCAGCAGUGGGGAAUAUUGCGCAAUGGGGGAAACCCUGACGCAGCAACGCCGCGUGAAGGAUGAAGGUCUUCGGAUUGUAAACUUCUUUGACGAGGGACGAAACAAAUGACGGUACCUCGAAAACAAGCUCCGGCUAACUACGUGCCAGCAGCCGCGGUAAUACGUAGGGAGCGAGCGUUGUCCGGAUUUACUGGGUGUAAAGGGCGUGUAGGCGGGAUCGCAAGUCAGAUGUGAAAUACCGGGGCUCAACCCCGGAGCUGCAUUUGAAACUGUGGUUCUUGAGUGAUGGAGAGGCAGGCGGAAUUCCUAGUGUAGCGGUGAAAUGCGUAGAUAUUAGGAGGAACACCAGUGGCGAAGGCGGCCUGCUGGACAUUAACUGACGCUGAGGCGCGAAAGCGUGGGGAGCAAACAGGAUUAGAUACCCUGGUA
Molecule: ribosomal RNA, 437 nt
Filed under: uncultured Oscillospiraceae bacterium
Lineage: Bacteria; Bacillati; Bacillota; Clostridia; Eubacteriales; Oscillospiraceae
Description: partial 16S ribosomal RNA
Rfam family: Bacterial small subunit ribosomal RNA
Source: RNAcentral